RNAcentral lists this microRNA precursor (143 nucleotides) under Glycine max (soybean). RNAcentral describes it as "MIR1520 microRNA precursor family". It matches the Rfam family "MIR1520 microRNA precursor family". The record is from Rfam by way of RNAcentral. Lineage: Eukaryota; Viridiplantae; Streptophyta; Magnoliopsida; Fabales; Fabaceae.
UUCUUAUUGAAUGAUAAUGUCACAUGUCAUGUUAUAAUUGGAUAUCAACUCCAUGGAAGAUGAAAUGAAUUAUUAUUUUUAUUGAUUAAUCAGAACAUGACACCAUUAUCUAAUAAGAACGUGACACGUGACCGUUAACAUCA